CAGCGAUGUUGCGGCAGCUGGUGUCUCUGGUGUCACGGCGGCGACUUGUGUCUGGGCGCGGCUUCCGUGAAGCGCGCUCUGCUGAUGGUUUCUCGACUGGCGCUUACAAGCAGUGGUGUUGUGGGAGCUGGAUCGGCAGUGUUGACACUAUACACUAGUGGCUCUGCAGGCUCGGCGUGCGUGUCUUUCAGAGCUGCACUGACAAGGGAGGCGCAGACGGUUCUGCAAUAUUUAUAGGCACAUCUUCUACACUAUUAUGCUGGGGAUUUUUAGGUAUAAGUAUUUUAGUUACAGAUGGUGUUAAAGGGUCAUCUUUUCGACUAUAUCUUAUAUUCUUCUUAUGAGUUUCUGUUGCUUUUUCUGUUGCUUUUUUCUCAGAGACUUGCUGAAGCAACGUAUUAUAUACUACUCUCUAUAAUUUUUUAAAUUUUUUUGCUGAUUUAUCUAUAUUU
Molecule: long non-coding RNA, 452 nt
Filed under: Junco hyemalis (dark-eyed junco)
Lineage: Eukaryota; Metazoa; Chordata; Aves; Passeriformes; Passerellidae
Description: lncRNA (ENSJHYG00000015267.1)
Source: RNAcentral